Molecule: ribosomal RNA, 496 nt
Filed under: uncultured bacterium
Lineage: Bacteria
Description: partial 16S ribosomal RNA
Rfam family: Bacterial small subunit ribosomal RNA
Source: RNAcentral
GAUGAACGCUGGCGGCGUGCCUAAUACAUGCAAGUCGAGCGAACGGACGAGAAGCUUGCUUCUCUGAUGUUAGCGGCGGACGGGUGAGUAACACGUGGAUAACCUACCUAUAAGACUGGGAUAACUUCGGGAAACCGGAGCUAAUACCGGAUAAUAUUUUGAACCGCAUGGUUCAAAAGUGAAAGACGGUCUUGCUGUCACUUAUAGAUGGAUCCGCGCUGCAUUAGUUAGUUGGUAAGGUAACGGCUUACCAAGGCAACGAUGCAAAGCCGACCUGAGGGGGGGAUCGGCCACUGGGGAACUGGGACGCGGUCCGAACCCCGACGGGAGGCACCGGCAGGGAAUCUACCGGAAUGGGCGAAAGCGUGACGGAGCAACGGCGCGUGAGUGAGGAAGGUCUUCGGAUCGUAAAACUCGGUUAUUAGGGAAGAACAAAUGUGUAAGUAACGGUGCACAUCUGGAAGGAACCGAAUCAGAAAGCCACGGUAAACUACGU